UACGGAGGGUGCAAGCGUUGUUCGGAAUCACAGGGCGUAAAGCGCGUGUAGGCGGUUUGAUAAGUCGAAUGUGAAAGCCCGAGGCUCAACCUCGGAAGUGCAUUCGAAACGGUCAGGCUUGAGUACGGGAGAGGGAAGUGGAAUUCCUGGUGUAGAGGUGAAAUUCGUAGAUAUCAGGAGGAACACCGGUGGCGAAGGCGGCUUCCUGGACCGAUACUGACGCUGAGACGCGAAAGCGUGGGGAGCAAACAGG
This 253-nucleotide ribosomal RNA is filed under the name uncultured bacterium. Its description in RNAcentral is "partial 16S ribosomal RNA". It matches the Rfam family "Bacterial small subunit ribosomal RNA", at positions 524 to 776 of the family's 1533-position model. The record is from RNAcentral.